GACGAACGCUGGCGGCGUGCUUAACACAUGCAAGUCGAACGAAGAGCGAUGGAAGCUUGCUUCUAUCAAUCUUAGUGGCGAACGGGUGAGUAACGCGUAAUCAACCUGCCCUUCAGAGGGGGACAACAGUUGGAAACGACUGCUAAUACCGCAUACGAUCUAAUCUUGGCAUCGAGGAUAGAUGAAAGGUGGCCUCUACAUGUAAGCUAUCACUGAAGGAGGGGAUUGCGUCUGAUUAGCUAGUUGGAGGGGUAACGGCCCACCAAGGCGAUGAUCAGUAGCCGGUCUGAGAGGAUGAACGGCCACAUUGGGACUGAGACACGGCCCAGACUCCUACGGGAGGCAGCAGUGGGGAAUCUUCCGCAAUGGACGAAAGUCUGACGGAGCAACGCCGCGUGAGUGAUGACGGCCUUCGGGUUGUAAAGCUCUGUUAAUCGGGACGAAAGGCCUUCUUGCGAAUAGUGAGAAGGAUUGACGGUACCGGAAUAGAAAGCCACGGCUAACUACGUG
This 510-nucleotide ribosomal RNA is filed under the name uncultured bacterium. RNAcentral describes it as "partial 16S ribosomal RNA". It matches the Rfam family "Bacterial small subunit ribosomal RNA", at positions 28 to 507 of the family's 1533-position model. The record is from RNAcentral.